This 397-nucleotide ribosomal RNA is filed under the name uncultured bacterium. RNAcentral describes it as "partial 16S ribosomal RNA". It matches the Rfam family "Bacterial small subunit ribosomal RNA", at positions 523 to 918 of the family's 1533-position model. The record is from RNAcentral.
AUACGUAGGGGGCGAGCGUUGUCCGGAAUGAUUGGGCGUAAAGGGCGCGUAGGCGGCACGGUAAGUCUGGAGUGAAAGUCCUGCUUUCAAGGUGGGAAUUGCUUUGGAUACUGCCGCGCUUGAGUGCAGGAGAGGUUAUCGGAAUUCCCGGUGUAGCGGUGAAAUGCGUAGAGAUCGGGAGGAACACCAGUGGCGAAGGCGGGUAACUGGACUGCAACUGACGCUGAGGCGCGAAAGUGUGGGGAGCAAACAGGAUUAGAUACCCUGGUAGUCCACACUGUAAACGAUGAAUGCUAGGUGUAAGAGGUAUCGACCCCUUUUGUGCCGGAGUCAACACAAUAAGCAUUCCGCCUGGGGAGUACGGCCGCAAGGUUGAAACUUAAAGGAAUUGGCGGGG